Molecule: ribosomal RNA, 469 nt
Filed under: uncultured bacterium
Lineage: Bacteria
Description: partial 16S ribosomal RNA
Rfam family: Bacterial small subunit ribosomal RNA
Source: RNAcentral
GACUAACGCUGGCGGCGUGCUUAACACAUGCAAGUCGAACGGAAAGGCCCUGCUUGCAGGGUGCUCGAGUGGCGAACGGGUGAGUAACACGUGGGUGAUCUGCCCCUUACUUUGGGAUAAGCCUGGGAAACUGGGUCUAAUACUGGAUAGGACCAUGCUGUAGGUGGUGUGGUGGAAAGAUUAGUUUCGGUAAGGGAUGAGCUCGCGGCCUAUCAGCUUGUUGGUGGGGUAAUGGCCUACCAAGGCGUCGACGGGUAGCCGGCCUGAGAGGGUGGACGGCCACAUUGGGACUGAGAUACGGCCCAGACUCCUACGGGAGGCAGCAGUGGGGAAUAUUGCACAAUGGGCGCAAGCCUGAUGCAGCGACGCCGCGUGGGGGAUGACGGCCUUCGGGUUGUAAACUCCUUUCAGCCAUGACGAAGCCCUUGUGGUGACGGUAGUGGUAGAAGAAGCACCGGCUAACUACGUG